This 301-nucleotide ribosomal RNA is filed under the name uncultured bacterium. Its description in RNAcentral is "partial 16S ribosomal RNA". It matches the Rfam family "Bacterial small subunit ribosomal RNA", at positions 509 to 807 of the family's 1533-position model. The record is from RNAcentral.
CAGCCGCCGCGGUAAAACGGAGGGUGCAAGCGUUAUCCGGAUUUAUUGGGUUUAAAGGGUCCGUAGGCGGAUCUGUAAGUCAGUGGUGAAAUCUCACAGCUUAACUGUGAAACUGCCAUUGAUACUGCAGGUCUUGAGUAAAUUUGAAGUGGCUGGAAUAAGUAGUGUAGCGGUGAAAUGCAUAGAUAUUACUUAGAACACCAAUUGCGAAGGCAGGUCACUAAGAUUUAACUGACGCUGAUGGACGAAAGCGUGGGGAGCGAACAGGAUUAGAUACCCCGGUAGUCCCUGUCUCUUAUAC